Pan troglodytes (chimpanzee) is the source of this 330-nucleotide unclassified non-coding RNA. Its record names the gene 7SK. It matches the Rfam family "7SK RNA". Rfam says of the family: 7SK was discovered as an abundant small nuclear RNA in the mid-70s but a possible function has only recently been suggested. The record is from Ensembl. Lineage: Eukaryota; Metazoa; Chordata; Mammalia; Primates; Hominidae.
GGAUGUGAGGGCGAUCUGGCUGCGACAUCUGUCACCCCAUUGAUCGCCAGGGUUGAUUCGGCUGAUCUGGCUGGCUAGGCGGGUGUCCCCUUCCUCCCUCACCGCUCCAUGUGCGUCCCUCCCGAGGCUGCGCGCUCGGUCGAAGAGGACGACCAUCCCCGAUAGAGGAGGACCGGUCUUCUGUCAAGGGUAUACGAGUAGCUGCGCUCCCCUGCUAGAACCUCCAAACAAGCUCUCAAGGAAUUGGAAGGUAAAUGGCAGAAGAAAUGGCUUAACAAUUUGUACAUGGUUUCUUGUGACUUCUUAUGACUGUAUAAGACCAGGGAGCAA